Molecule: ribosomal RNA, 264 nt
Filed under: uncultured bacterium
Lineage: Bacteria
Description: partial 16S ribosomal RNA
Rfam family: Bacterial small subunit ribosomal RNA
Source: RNAcentral
GUCCCGACGGUAAACGAUGGGCACUAGGUGUCGGAGGUAUCGACCCCUCCGGUGCCGCAGUUAACACAUUAAGUGCCCCGCCUGGGGAGUACGACCGCAAGGUUGAAACUCAAAGGAAUUGACGGGGCCCGCACAAGCGGUGGAGUAUGUGGUUUAAUUCGACGCAACGCGAAGAACCUUACCUGGGCUUGACAUGUAACGGACAUGGUUAGAGAUAACCACUCGUCUUCGGACGUCGUUGCACAGGUGCUGCAUGGCUGUCGU